This 585-nucleotide long non-coding RNA is filed under the name Vulpes vulpes (red fox). RNAcentral describes it as "lncRNA (ENSVVUG00000006462.1)". Lineage: Eukaryota; Metazoa; Chordata; Mammalia; Carnivora; Canidae. The record is from RNAcentral.
CAAGGUUCUGGAAUUUUCAAGUGUGAGGUCAGAGAAUCUUCUGUCAUGGAGGAAAUCUGUAGAGUCUCAGACAGUAAUGAAGAAGAGGAGAGAAUUUGGAAUUUGGAGGAAUGAUAGAAAGACGAAGUAUAGUUGUGACCAGAGACCAUAGGUCCUAACAACCAGAUCGAUGUGGAGGUGGUAGAAGUGAGCAGAUGGACUGCUGCGGUCUGGGGGAAUCUGGAUGUAAACUCUUCAGGCGUUGGAGUAUUCCUGCGAGCAAGCAAUAAGAGGAAAUCAGAAUACACACCUGGCCCAUUUAAGCCACAGACCAUUACUUCCAGAACGCUAUAUAUCAUCACAUAGAGUAGAGAAGAAAAGCUGUAGACUGGCCUGCCUCAACACUGUUAUGUAUUCAUUGUUGCAAUUAUGCUACAGCUUUGGCUCUGGGGUAAAGAGCAGUGAAAAGGAUCAAGUUCAACGACAUUCCUGUGUUUUUCAAACUAGUAUCAUAGACUCAUGGGAUCACUGUGGACUAGUAUUUUUACUCCAUGGUGAGUAAUCUAUAACACUUUGAAAUAGAAAAUGAGUAGGCUUAACAACAUU